AAUGAACGCUGGCGGCGCGCCUAAUACAUGCAAGUCGAGCGAGAAGACGUAGCAAUACGUUUGUAAAGCGGCGAACGGGUGAGGGAUACAUGGGUAACCUACCCUUGAGUGGGGAAUAACUAGCCGAAAGGUUAGCUAAUACCGCGUACGCUUCUUGGACUUCGGUUCAGGGAGGAAAGCGAUGCCGAGGGCAUCGCGCUCUUGGAUGGGCUCAUGUCCUAUCAGCUUGUUGGUGAGGUAACGGCUCACCAAGGCUUCGACGGGUAGCUGGUCUGAGAGGACGAUCAGCCACACUGGCACUGCGACAC
This 308-nucleotide ribosomal RNA is filed under the name uncultured bacterium. RNAcentral describes it as "bacterial SSU rRNA". It matches the Rfam family "Bacterial small subunit ribosomal RNA", at positions 29 to 327 of the family's 1533-position model. The record is from RNAcentral.